GGGUCGUUAGCUCAGUUGGUAGAGCGCUUCGUUUACACCGAAGAUGUCGGGAGUUCGAGUCUCUCAUCACCCACCA
This 76-nucleotide transfer RNA is filed under the name Sulfitobacter sp. RNAcentral's name for it is "tRNA-Val". It matches the Rfam family "tRNA". From Rfam's summary of the family: Transfer RNA (tRNA) molecules are approximately 80 nucleotides in length. Lineage: Bacteria; Pseudomonadati; Pseudomonadota; Alphaproteobacteria; Rhodobacterales; Roseobacteraceae. The record is from RNAcentral.